This 496-nucleotide ribosomal RNA is filed under the name uncultured bacterium. Its description in RNAcentral is "partial 16S ribosomal RNA". It matches the Rfam family "Bacterial small subunit ribosomal RNA", at positions 28 to 506 of the family's 1533-position model. The record is from RNAcentral.
GAUGAACGCUGGCGGCGUGCCUAAUACAUGCAAGUCGAGCGAACAGACGAGGAGCUUGCUCCUCUGACGUUAGCGGCGGACGGGUGAGUAACACGUGGAUAACCUACCUAUAAGACUGGGAUAACUUCGGGAAACCGGAGCUAAUACCGGAUAAUAUAUUGAACCGCAUGGUUCAAUAGUGAAAGACGGUUUUGCUGUCACUUAUAGAUGGAUCCGCGCCGCAUUAGCUAGUUGGUAAGGUAACGGCUUACCAAGGCGACGAUGCGUAGCCGACCUGAGAGGGUGAUCGGCCACACUGGAACUGAGACACGGUCCAGACUCCUACGGGAGGCAGCAGUAGGGAAUCUUCCGCAAUGGGCGAAAGCCUGACGGAGCAACGCCGCGUGAGUGAUGAAGGUCUUCGGAUCGUAAAACUCUGUUAUUAGGGAAGAACAAAUGUGUAAGUAACUAUGCACGUCUGGACGGUACCUAAUCAGAAAGCCACGGCGAACUACGU